GUGGGGAAUAUUGGACAAUGGGGGGAACCCUGAUCCAGCCAUGCCGCGUGUGUGAAGAAGGCCUUUUGGUUGUAAAGCACUUUAAGCGAGGAGGAGGCUACCGAGAUUAAUACUCUUGGAUAGUGGACGUUACUCGCAGAAUAAGCACCGGCUAACUCUGUGCCAGCAGCCGCGGUAAUACAGAGGGUGCACGCGUUAAUCGGAUUUACUGGGCGUAAAGCGCGCGUAGGUGGCCAGUUAAGUCAAAUGUGAAAUCCCCGAGCUUAGCUUGGGAAUUGCAUUCGAUACUGGUUGGCUAGAGUAUGGGAGAGGAUGGUAGAAUUCCGGGUGUAGCGGUGAAAUGCGUAGAGAUCUGGAGGAAUACCGAUGGCGAAGGCAGCCAUCUGGCCUAAUACUGACCCUGAGGUGCGAAAGCAUGGGGAGCAAACAGGAUUAGAUACCCUAGUAGUCC
Molecule: ribosomal RNA, 451 nt
Filed under: uncultured bacterium
Lineage: Bacteria
Description: partial 16S ribosomal RNA
Rfam family: Bacterial small subunit ribosomal RNA
Source: RNAcentral